GUCAACGGUACAGGUCUUCGGAUCCUGACGAGUGGCGGACGGGUGAGUAAUGCGUAGGAAUCUGUCUUUGAGUGGGGGACAACCAGGGAAACUUGGGCUAAUACCGCAUAAGCCCUGAGGGGGAAAGCGGGGGAUCUUCGGACCUCGCGCUGGAAGAGGAGCCUACGUCUGAUUAGCUAGUUGGUAGGGUAAAGGCCUACCAAGGCGACGAUCGGUAGCUGGUCUGAGAGGACGACCAGCCACACUGGGACUGAGACACGGCCCANACUCCUACGGGAGGCAGCAGUGGGGAAUUUUUCGCAAUGGGGGCAACCCUGACGAAGCAAUGCCGCGUGAAUGAAGAAGGCCUUCGGGUUGUAAAGUUCUUUCGUGGAGGACGAAAAGGUGGGUGCUAAUAUCGCCUGCUGUUGACGUGAAUCCAAGAAGAAGCACCGGCUAACUCCGUGCCAGCCGCCGCGGUAAUAC
This 465-nucleotide ribosomal RNA is filed under the name uncultured Acidithiobacillus sp. RNAcentral's name for it is "bacterial SSU rRNA". It matches the Rfam family "Bacterial small subunit ribosomal RNA", at positions 61 to 526 of the family's 1533-position model. Lineage: Bacteria; Pseudomonadati; Pseudomonadota; Acidithiobacillia; Acidithiobacillales; Acidithiobacillaceae. The record is from RNAcentral.